UACGAAGGGGGCUAGCGUUGCUCGGAAUCACUGGGCGUAAAGCGCACGUAGGCGGCUUUUUAAGUCAGGGGUGAAAUCCUGGAGCUCAACUCCAGAACUGCCUUUGAUACUGGGAAGCCUGAGUCCGGGAGAGGUGAGUGGAACUCCGAGUGUAGAGGUGAAAUUCGUAGAUAUUCGGAAGAACACCAGUGGCGAAGGCGGCUCACUGGCCCGGUACUGACGCUGAUGCGCGAAAGCCAGGGGAGCGAACGGG
RNAcentral lists this ribosomal RNA (253 nucleotides) under uncultured bacterium. RNAcentral's name for it is "partial 16S ribosomal RNA". It matches the Rfam family "Bacterial small subunit ribosomal RNA", at positions 524 to 776 of the family's 1533-position model. The record is from RNAcentral.